UCGGAGUCGCUAGUAAUCGCAGAUCAGCAACGCUGCGGUGAAUACGUUCCCGGGGCUUGUACACAAAGCCCCG
This 73-nucleotide ribosomal RNA is filed under the name Trichormus variabilis PNB. RNAcentral's name for it is "partial 16S ribosomal RNA". It matches the Rfam family "Bacterial small subunit ribosomal RNA", at positions 1326 to 1397 of the family's 1533-position model. The record is from RNAcentral. Lineage: Bacteria; Bacillati; Cyanobacteriota; Cyanophyceae; Nostocales; Nostocaceae.